Molecule: ribosomal RNA, 1237 nt
Filed under: metagenome
Description: bacterial LSU rRNA
Rfam family: Bacterial large subunit ribosomal RNA
Source: RNAcentral
UGAGUACGAGAUGCUACGGCAUCGAAGCAGUCUAUGUCAUACUUCCAAGAAAAGCUUGCACUGUCAGAAACAGAUAAUGCCUGUACCAUAACCGACACAGGUGGGUAGGUAGAGUAUACUAAGGGGCGCGAGAUAACUCUCUCUAAGGAACUCGGCAAAAUGACUCCGUAACUUCGGGAGAAGGAGUGCCUUAUUUUUAAGGUUGCAAUAACAAGAUCCAAGCAACUGUUUACCAAAAACACAGGUCUCCGCUAAGUCGUAAGACGAUGUAUGGGGGCUGACGCCUGCCCAGUGCCAGAAGGUUAAAGAAGUCGGUUAGCAUUCGCGAAGCUGGUAACUGAAGCCCUGGUGAACGGCGGCCGUAACAAUAACGGUCCUAAGGUAGCGAAAUUCCUUGUCGGGUAAGUUCCGACCCGCACGAAAGGCGUAAUGAUUUGGAUACUGUCUCGGAGAGGGGCUCGGUGAAAUAGACUUGUCUGUGAAGAUGCGGACUACCUGCACCUGGACAGAAAGCCCCUAUGAAGCUUUACUGUAACUUGAGAUUGAAAUUGGACUUUAUUUGCGCAGUAUAGGUGGGAGGCGUUGAAAAUAUUCUUGCGGGAAUAUUGGAGCCAUCAGUGAGAUACCACUCUUGUAAUGUUAGAUUUCUAACUUUAUAUCAUUAUCUGGUUAAAGAACAGUUUCAGGCGGGCAGUUUGACUGGGGCGGUCGCCUCCCAAAUGGUAACGGAGGCGCACAAAGGUUUCCUCUGAACGGGUAGAAAUCGUAUCUAGAGUGUAAAGGCAUAAGGAAGCUUGACUGUGAGACCUACAAGUCGAGCAGGGACGAAAGUCGGUCUUAGUGAUCUGACGGUGCUGAGUGGAAAGGCCGUCACUCAACGGAUAAAAGUUACUCUAAGGAUAACAGGCUGAUCUCCCCCAAGAGUUCACAUCGACGGGGAGGUUUGGCACCUCGAUGUCGGCUCAUCGCAUCCUGGGGCGGUAGUACGUCCCAAGGGUUGGGCUGUUCGCCCAUGAAAGCGGUACGCGAGCUGGGUUCAGAACAUCGUGAGACAGUUCGGUCCAUAUCCGGUGUAGGCGUUAGAAUAUUGAGAGGAGCCUUCUUUAGUACGAGAGGACCGAGAAGGACAUACCUCUGGUGUACCAGUUAUCGUGCCAACGGUAAAGGCUGGGUAGCUAUGUAUGGAGUGGAUAACCGCUGAAAGCAUCUAAGUGGGAAGCCCACCUCAAGAUAAGUA